AGUGAACGCUGGCGGUAGGCCUAACACAUGCAAGUCGAACGGCAGCACAGUAAGAGCUUGCUCUUACGGGUGGCGAGUGGCGGACGGGUGAGGAAUACAUCGGAAUCUACUUUUUCGUGGGGGAUAACGUAGGGAAACUUACGCUAAUACCGCAUACGACCUACGGGUGAAAGCAGGGGAUCUUCGGACCUUGCGCGAUUGAAUGAGCCGAUGUCGGAUUAGCUAGUUGGCGGGGUAAAGGCCCACCAAGGCGACGAUCCGUAGCUGGUCUGAGAGGAUGAUCGGCGACACUGGAGCUGAGACACGGUCCAGACUCCUACGGGAGGCAGCAGUGGGGAAUAUUGGACAAUGGUCGCAAGCCUGAUCCAGCCAUCCCGCGUGUGUGAAGAAGGCCUUCGGGUUGUAAAGCCCUUUUGUUGGGAAAGAAAAGCAGCAGGUUAAUACCCCGCUGUUCUGACGGUACCCAAAGAAUAAGCACCGGCUAACUUCGUG
Molecule: ribosomal RNA, 492 nt
Filed under: uncultured bacterium
Lineage: Bacteria
Description: partial 16S ribosomal RNA
Rfam family: Bacterial small subunit ribosomal RNA
Source: RNAcentral